GAUGAACGCUGGCGGCGUGCCUAAUACAUGCAAGUCGAGCGAACGGACGAGAAGCUUGCUUCUCUGAUGUUAGCGGCGGACGGGUGAGUAACACGUGGAUAACCUACCUAUAAGACUGGGAUAACUUCGGGAAACCGGAGCUAAUACCGGAUAAUAUUUUGAACCGCAUGGCUCAAAAGUGAAAGACGGUCUUGCUGUCACUUAUAGAUGGAUCCGCGCUGCAUUAGCAAGUUGGUAAGGUAACGGCUUACCAAGGCAACGAUGCAUAGCCGACCUGAGAGGGUGAUCGGCCACACUGGAACUGAGACACGGUCCAGACUCCUACGGGAGGCAGCAGUAGGGAAUCUUCCGCAAUGGGCGAAAGCCUGACGGAGCAACGCCGCGUGAGUGAUGAAGGUCUUCGGAUCGUAAAACUCUGUUAUUAGGGAAGAACAUAUGUGUAAGUAACUGUGCACAUCUUGACGGUACCUAAUCAGAAAGCCACGGCUAACUACGUGCCAGCAGCCGCGGUAAUACGUAGGUGGCAAGCGUUAUCCGGAAUUAUUGGGCGUAAAGCGCGCGUAGGCGGUUUUUUAAGUCUGAUGUGAAAGCCCACGGCUCAACCGUGGAGGGUCAUUGGAAACUGGAAAACUUGAGUGCAGAAGAGGAAAGUGGAAUUCCAUGUGUAGCGGUGAAAUGCGCAGAGAUAUGGAGGAACACCAGUGGCGAAGGCGACUUUCUGGUCUGUAACUGACGCUGAUGUGCGAAAGCGUGGGGAUCAAACAGGAUUAGAUACCCUGGUAGUCCACGCCGUAAACGAUGAGUGCUAAGUGUUAGGGGGUUUCCGCCCCUUAGUGCUGCAGCUAACGCAUUAAGCACUCCGCCUGGGGAGUACGACCGCAAGGUUGAAACUCAAAGGAAUUGACGGGGACCCGCACAAGCGGUGGAGCAUGUGGUUUAAUUCGAAGCAACGCGAAGAACCUUACCAAAUCUUGACAUCCUUUGACAACUCUAGAGAUAGAGCCUUCCCCUUCGGGGGGGCAAAGUGACAGGUGGUGCAUGGUUGUCGUCAGCUCGUGUCGUGAGAUGUUGGGUUAAGUCCCGCAACGAGCGCAACCCUUAAGCUUAGUUGCCAUCAUUAAGUUGGGCACUCUAAGUUGACUGCCGGUGACAAACCGGAGGAAGGUGGGGAUGACGUCAAAUCAUCAUGCCCCUUAUGAUUUGGGCUACACACGUGCUACAAUGGACAAUACAAAGGGCAGCGAAACCGCGAGGUCAAGCAAAUCCCAUAAAGUUGUUCUCAGUUCGGAUUGUAGUCUGCAACUCGACUACAUGAAGCUGGAAUCGCUAGUAAUCGUAGAUCAGCAUGCUACGGUGAAUACGUUCCCGGGUCU
Molecule: ribosomal RNA, 1373 nt
Filed under: uncultured bacterium
Lineage: Bacteria
Description: bacterial SSU rRNA
Rfam family: Bacterial small subunit ribosomal RNA
Source: RNAcentral